This 397-nucleotide ribosomal RNA is filed under the name uncultured bacterium. RNAcentral's name for it is "bacterial SSU rRNA". It matches the Rfam family "Bacterial small subunit ribosomal RNA", at positions 358 to 772 of the family's 1533-position model. The record is from RNAcentral.
GGAAUAUUGGACAAUGGGGGGAACCCUGAUCCAGCCAUGCCGCGUGAGUGAAGAAGGCCUUAGGGUUGUAAAGCUCUUUCACCGGGGAAGAUAAUGACGGUACCCGGAGAAGAAGCCCCGGCUAACUCCGUGCCAGCAGCCGCGGUAAUACGGAGGGGGCGAGCGUUGUUCGGAAUUACUGGGCGUAAAGCGCGCGUAGGCGGAUUGUUAAGUCGGGGGUGAAAUCCCGGGGCUCAACCCCGGAACUGCCUUCGAUACUGGCAGUCUAGAGGUCGAGAGAGGUGAGUGGAAUUCCGAGUGUAGAGGUGAAAUUCGUAGAUAUUCGGAGGAACACCAGUGGCGAAGGCGGCUCACUGGCUCGAUACUGACGCUGAGGUGCGAAAGCGUGGGGAGCAAA